Molecule: long non-coding RNA, 26522 nt
Filed under: Vitis vinifera (wine grape)
Lineage: Eukaryota; Viridiplantae; Streptophyta; Magnoliopsida; Vitales; Vitaceae
Description: long non-coding RNA (VVIN_LNC001474)
Source: RNAcentral
GGCGAAAUUGGCGGGGGAGCCGGAGUAGGGCUGAACAUUGACGCCCCACUUGGAGGGGUCGCAGUGGAAGGCCUGCAGGGCACGUGACCUGCAGAGGUUCUCGAUCUCGUCGAUGAACUCAUUUCCACCAUAGUAGCGGUUGCCAGGCAUGCCCUCGGAGUACUUGUUGGUGAGGGCGCUGCCCAGGGCUUCAAUGACGGCAAAGGAUGUGAAAUUCUCGGAGGCAAUCAGCUCUAUCCCCCUGCACUGCCUCCUCUUUUCCUUCUCGAUCAGGUCAUGGAUCUCUGGAUCCACUGUGAGGAGGCUUGAGUUUCCCCAUUCUGAUACUGGAUCCAUUCCUUCUCCACUCGAAUAACCAACAACAAGAAGAACGAAGAAAUGAAGGAGAUUGUUGGUUGUGGCUGUGCCCUUGGCCACGGGAUCUAAGGGGAUUUUAAAGAAACCCCUCGGUUAUGAGAAAGUACACGUCUGCCCUUGGGUUGGUGGAGGCGAGGUGAAGCCAGGCAAUGUCUUUUUUCACCCCUCUUUCCACUUAUUAAUUUCGAUGGAAAGAAUUGGAUGAGUACCGAUGUUUUAAAAAUCGGAUCGAUCAUCCGGUUUAAUAUGAACCUAUCAAAAUCUUAUUAGAUUUUUCAAUAUCGAAACCUUGUGGUAGGAGCCCGAACUGAGACCAGUGGUUUAACAACAGAAGUUGAGGACAAACCGAGCUACAUAUUUAUCAUAUACGUAUAUUUAUUUUUAUAAUAAUUAUUAAUAAUAAAUAUGAAAAUAAUAUAAAUUAAUUAAUAUAAUAAUUUUAAAAUUUUUAAAAUAGAUAUAUAAUUAAAUUAAAUAUUAUAAUUUUUUUUAUCUUCUAUAUAUCUUCAUAUUUAAAUAUUAUAGAUAUUCUAUUUAAUAAAAUUUAAUAUUUUAAUAUCUUCAUCAUUUAAUUUCAUAUACUAAAACAUAAAACAUGAAAUAUUAUUAAAAUUUUUUAAUUAUAUACAUGUAUUUUAUUUUCUUAUAAUUAUGUUGAAUUUGAAGAAAAUAUAAAUAAUAUAUUUAUAACAUUAGUGUUCACCAAUUCAACUAGUGAAUCAUAAAUCAAUAAUUUUUUUAAUUUAAUAUAUAAUCUAAUUAUGAAAACAUUGAUAAAAAACCAUAAUAAAUUCUAAUAAAUAUCUUUUAGUGUUUUUGCUUCUUAUGGUAAAAACCCUUUUUAACUCACAUUGAUAAUAACUAGUGUCGGGAAAGAAAAAGAAUAAAACUUUUACAUAAAUUUGAAAUUUAAAGACUUUAAAUAAUAAUAAUAAUUUUGAUAGGAAAGCUUUUUAUAUGGUUCCUUCAACCAACCCACAUCUUUUUUACAGUACACCCUUGGUUAGGCCCAAAGUACAAGAUUUUUGGAUUGAAGGAGGUUUGGAAAGGGGUCCCACCGAGUAUUAAAGAAACAUCCUGGUUUUGUCCAAAAUUCCUAAUACAACAACAUGGGCCUUCUAACUUUGAUGCAUAGCUCAUACUUAAUUACGCGGACCAUAAAUGAGUUUCCAACUAUCAAUUUUCCUUUGCCGACAAGGCCACUUUGUUGGUUUCACGGUUAAGGCCAUCUUUUUAAGUGGUAUAUACACAUUUUCAAUUCAACAUGCAAGUUUCUUUAUGCAAGAAAUUUUUUUCUUUCAAUGCCAUAUAUAUAUAUAUAUAUAUAUAUACCAAAAGUUUCUUUUACCUUGGUAAUGAUCUUAUUUGUUCAUAUCUUGGUCUCAUUUGUUCAUAUCUAAAUUAUAUUUUUAUAUUUUACACAAAUUAAUUUUAUAAAUCAAAAUCUCUUACAUCUUUUCCCAUGUCCAUCAUCAAAAAGAAAAAUUUCCUUACUUCUUGCCGUGAUUGAGAAAUUUUUUUGUCCAUUAUCUAAAAGCUAAAGUUUCUUUUAAUUUUGUUUUUUCUUUUUUUUUUCUUGACAACGAGAUGUGAACAGUUUAGUCAAUCUUUCUAUGAAUGUGCUCAUAAAGAAGACAUUGUUGACAACUAUUGGGAUUAUAUUAAUGAUAGCAAUAUUAGCUUUAAAACAACAUGUCUACACAUGUCCUUCCAAAUUAGGUCAACAUUUUUUUUAUCUCCUUUUAAUUUUGUUUAUUUUGGUAUUGAUCUAUUACUUAAUUUAUGUGUUUAAAUUUCCAAGUUUUUUUUUUUAAAUUCCGUAACAAUCUAAAACUAAAAUCUUUCUAAAGAAAGAAAUGUAAACUAAAUAUGAAUUAAAAAAUACAAAUAUUUACUUUAUUAUAAAGUUUUAUAUUGUUUGAGUGGAAAGAGUUAAAAAUAUAAAAGAAGAAAGUGGGAUUAUAUUCAAAUAGGGAGGUUGACAUGGGAAGUUUAUUUAAAAAUGGUGUAAUUAAAUAAGAUAAUGUUAUAAAAUAUGAUAUUCUAUACCACUAUGGUAACUUGUGGAUGAUCAUCCAUAAAUAUCUUGUGUAACUCCCUAUAAAAGGGAGAUACCCCUAAUGAAUUUCAAUAGAGUUUUCCCAUGUAUUAUAUUCUCUUCCUACAUUCUAAUUUCUCUUUCUUAUUUUUUUCUCCUUCCACUUUAUAAUUUUACAACACGUUAUCAGCACGAAUAGUCUCUACAAAAGAAAUAAGAAAGACGUUCUUCGUUCUUCUCUUUAGAGAAAUAGAAAGAUGUUUUUCCUUUCAGAGAAAUAGAAAGACUUUCUCUCUUCUUUCUCACAAAAAGGUAUGUGAUAAACUUAUAUCAUGAUUUUCUAUUUUAUUACCUUUUGAUCUCCAUUUUCAUAUAUUUUAUUUGAAUACAUAAAUAUGUAUAAUCCAUAUAACCAGAAGUUAUGGGGUAAAUUAUAAAUUAUAGGGUACAUUCAUAACUAGAAGUUAUGAAAAAUAUGUACAAUCCCUAUUAUCAUAAAUUAUAAAUUAUAGGGUAAAUUCAUAACCAGAAGUUAUGAAAAAUAUGUACAAUCCCUAUAAUCAUAAAUUAUAAAUUAUAGGGUAAAUUCAUAACCAGAAGUUAUGAAAAAUAUGUGCAAUCCCUAUAACCAAAAGUUAUAUGGAAAAUUAUAAAAUUACAAAUACAUGACCAGAAGUUACGUAUAUGAUCCUUAAUUAUUUAUUUUUAAUUAUACGGUAUAACUAAAAGUUAUACCAAACAAUAUUGUAGCCAGAAGCUAUAAAAUAAAUAAAUAAAUGUUCAUAGCCUGAAGUUAUGUACAAAUCUACAUAAUGAAAGUUCAUAGCCUGAAGCUAUGCACAAAUCUACCCAAUGAAUAGUUCAUAGCCUGAAGUUAUAUACAAAUUUAUAUAAAAAAAAGUUCAUAGCUUGAAGCUAUGUACAAAUUUAAAUAUUUUCUUGUUAUGACAAAAUAAUCAUGGCCUGAAGCUAUGAAAAAUAUUAACUUUUAAUUUCUUUAAUUUAUUUUAAUUAUAUUGUGUAACUAGAAGUUAUACAUAAAUAGUUCAUAGCCUGAAGCUAUGUACAAAUUUGAAUAUUUUCUUGUUUUGACAAAAUAAUCAUAACUCAAAGUUAUGAAAAAUAUUGGAUUUAAUUUUUAUUUUGAACUCAUUUAUUUUUCACAAUAGGAAUUAUGGAAAACAAUUUUUAUUAACAAUUGUUUCAUAACCAGAAGUUAUGCAUGCAAUUUCUAAUUCUCUUGUAUAACCAGAAGUUAUUCAAAACAAAAUUGUCAAUGAAUCUUGGAGCUAUGAUCAAAGAAGGAAAUCAAGCAUCCCUAUAGGAUCGCGCAAAAUCAUUGAUUUUCCUUUGUUGUCAUCUCCAUGAAGGUUUAACAAAAAUGAGUUUUUGAUGAGAAAUCACUAGUCUCGUCCAACUAGAUUUGAAUCAUUCCUUAAAGUGAAUGCAAUAUUGUCCCAAACUCGUGGACGGUGACAAGGAUGUGGUCGUGGAAGAAAUCCUCGAUACCAUAGUUCUUAUAGUAAUAAUUCACCAAAUUCUCAUAAAAAGAAAGUCUCAUUGCACCACCAGAAGUGGAAUAAUACUGAGAUAAAACAAGAAAAUGGGAAGUGUUUACAAGAUAAACCUCCUAAGAACCAUGGGAAUAAAUGUUAUAGAUGUGGUAUGAAGGGUCAUUGGUCGCGUACCUAUCGUACGCCCAAACAUUUGGUCGACCUUUACCAAACAUCAAUAAAAUGAAAGAAAGUUGAAAUGAACUUCAUUGAUAGUGAUGGCCAAGUGGAUCUAACCCAUUUAGAUGUUUCAAAUUUCUUUGAGAAUCCUAAUGGGAAAAUUGACCAUUUAAUUGGUGAUGGAAAUGUUUGUUAUGAUUAAACGUUAUGUUUUUAUUUAAUUCUUUGCAAAUAGGUUUAUUUUGUUAUCAUAUUUGAACACAUUGUUUAUUGUUCAUCUUUUAUAGUUUAUUUCACAUUUUAUUAUUUAUCAUUUAAAUUCUUUUCUUUAUUUAUACUUGAAGAUACAUGGAUCUCUCUCAUACCUUGAUCCAUCACUACAAUUAGUUUGAUUAUUGAAAUACUUUCUAGUUAUUUCAUGUAUAAAUUGCUCCACACUUACAAAAUCAAAUGUGUGAGAUACUUACGAAAUAUAUAACUUUAAAUUAUCUUUUCAUAUUUGUUUUAUUGUGUUAUAUAUGCUCUCAUUGCUUUUACACAACUUAUUAAGUUAAGUUAUCAUCGAUGACUAAUAUUUUCCAUUGAUCUUAACUUUUUCUCUAUGAUAAUAUUUAUUCAACUCUAUAAAGAUGAAGUCUUUAUGAUAAUGUCUUAUGACUUGUUACUUUGAUGAAACUCUUGUCUCAUUAAUUGCACAACAUUGAUGACAAACAAUGUUAAUACUAUAUAAGGUGAUAAGACCUAAUUAAAGGCUCUAGAAGAGCUUAUACUAUGUCACUAGUAGUAUUUGAUUCCAUGUGAAUGACACUUCAUACGAUGAUAGAUCCAGAAGAAUCUUAUAAGACCAACUUGGUCCCCCGGGGUGAAAGGUCAUAUGGAUGUACAUUAUAAAACCAGAAGUUUUUAUUUAGUGACUAGUCUACCUAUAUACUUAAAAGGUAGAAUGACAUGUUGUGCAGAUUAUCAUUUUAAUGAGACAAUUUUCCCACCGUUAGGGGGAGAAGAGCCAAUUCCAGAAGAACGAUGUGAAAUUAUUUGGAAUGCAUUGACUUUGACUCAUUUUGAUCCUCAUACAAAUCAAUGUGAACUAGAAGUUCAAAUGAUCAUUCAUUUACAAAAUCUUGCAAAUCAAUUACAAGAUGCAUUCAUUGAUACAAAGAAAGUGACAAAGUCAUAUAUCCCGGCUGCAAAUACUCCAGCACGGAUUGAUGUCCUUGUAGGACAGUUAACAAAUUAAUCUAAGAUAUGCCUGAAGCGUGGUAGACUUGUUGGCUCAAAAGAUGUAACUCCCCGGAAGAGGAGAACCCAAGAAAAAUUUGGUACUCUAGAAGAGACCAUCAAAAUGACUGAUCAGUUUAAAAUUGAUAAAUCUAUAACCCUAGAAGAGGCACAAAUAAUACAAGAAGCCCUUGAAGAGGCACAUAUAUUGAACAAGAAGCCCUUGAAGAGGCACAUAUUGAAUGAGAAGCCCUUGAAGAGGCACAGGUACCUAAAAAUUGUGAGAUCUCAGUAAGUUAUGUAUACAUGGGAGAAAAAUGGGAUCAAAAUAAUAUUAUUUUCUCUUUCCAAGUGGCCUCCAUAAGAAAUGAUGAAGAUCUUAAACUAUGAAAUGUGGAAGAAUGCCGACAUAGAAAUGAUUGGCCAAAAUGGAAAGAAGUUACACAGGCAAAGUUAAACUCAUUAACAAAAUGAGAAGUUUUUGGGCUUGUAGUCCAAACACCUGAAGAUGUAAAGCCUGUUGGGUACAAAUGGGUAUUUGUACGAAAACGCAAUGAGAAUAAUGAGAUCAUAAGAUAUAAAGUGCGAUUAGUAGCACAAGGUUUCUUGUAGAAACCUAGUAUUGACUAUGAGGAAACAUUCUUUCCCGUCAUGGACGCAAUCACAUAUAAUUUCUUAAUUAGUUUGGCAGUCCCAGAAUGACUAGAUAUGCGUCUCAUGAAUGUUUUUACAACAUAUUUAUAUGGAUCCAUGGAUAAUGAUAUAUACAUGAAAAUCCCUGAAGGAUUUAAAUUGCCUGAAGCAAAUUGUACAAAGCCACGUAGCAUGUACUCAAUGAAGUUACAACGAUCCUUGUAUGGAUUAAAGCAAUCUGGACACAUGUGGUACAAUCACCUUAGCGAAUACUUGCUAAAAGAAGGGUAUGUGAAUAACCUUAUGUGCCCAUGCAUCUUCAUUAAGAAAUCAGAAACUGAAUUUGCAAUUAUUGCAAUGUAUAUUGAUGACUUAAGUCUUGUUGGAACUCCCGAAGAGCUCACAAGAACAACAAAUUACUUGAAAAAGGAAUUUGAGAUGAAAUAUCUUGGAAAAAAAAAACUUUAUCUCGGCCUGUAGAUCGAUCAUUUUCAAAAUAAAGUUUUAGCACAUCAAUCAACACACAUUAAGAAAGUUUUGAAGUGUUUUAAUAUGGAUAAAGCGCAUCCUUUAAGUUCUCCAAUGGUUGUCCGAUCACUUGAUGUGAAAAAUGACUCAUUUCGUCCUUGCGAAAAAGGAUGAAGAAUUACUUGGUCCUGAAGUACCACAUAUUAGUGUUAUUGGUGCACUUAUAUAUCUUGCCAAUUGUAUACGUCCAAACAUUCUUUUUCUGCCAAUUUAUUAGCAAGAUAUAGUUCCGCUCCAACUCGAAGACAUUGGAAUGGUAUCAAACAUAUAUUACAUUAUCUUUGCGGAACUACUAGUAUGGGUCUAUUUUACUCAAGGGAAUCAAAGUAACAAUUGCUUGGAUAUGCAGAUACAGAAUAUCUUUCAGAUCCAUAUAAAGGUAAGUAAGAAACAUGGUAUGUGUUUAAUUACAGUGAUAUUGCUAUCUCAUGGAGAUCUAUCAAACAAACAAUGGUAGUCACAUCAUCAAAUCAUUCAUAAAUUCUUGCAAUUCAUGAAGUAAGUCGUGAGUGUGUAUGACUAAGGUCAAUGAUCCAACAUAUUCAAGAAACAUGUGGACUACCUUCCAUCAGAGGCAAUGCAACCAAGUUACAUGAAGAUAAUGCUACUUGUAUUGCACAAAUUAAAGGAGGAUUCAUAAAAGGUGACAAAAUUAAGCAUAUUUCCCAUAAAUUCUUCUAUACUCAUGAGCUCCAAAAGAAAGAUGAGACCGAUGUUCAAUAGAUUCAGGUAUGCAAUAAUCUAGCAGAUAUAUUCACAAAGGCGUUACCUUCGACCGGAUUGAAAAAGUUAAGGUAUGACUUUGGAAUGUAAAGAUUGAGAGAUCUACCAUUUGAAAUGUUGAAGAAAUCAUAACCAUGUUUACAUGAGGAGGAGAAUGAUAAUAUGGAUAUACUGCACUCUUUUUUCCUUUGUCCAGGUUUUGUCCCAUUGGGUUUUAUUGGCAAGGUUUUUCACAAGGCGGCUAUAAUAAUCCAAAAGAAUAUUGUACUCUUUUUCCUUCACUGGGGUUUUUCCUAAUAAGGUUUUAAUGAGGCAUAUUUUUAUGAUCAUCCAAAGGGAAGUGUUAUAAAAUAUGAGAUUCUGUAUCACUAUAGUAACUUGUGGAUGAUCAUCCAUAAAUAUCUUGUGUAACUCCCUAUAAAAGGAAGAUACUCCUAAUGAAUUUCAAUAGAGUUUUCCCGUGCAUUAUAUUCUCUUCCUACAUUCUAAUUUCUCUUUCUUAUUUUCUUUUCCUUCCACUUUAUAAUUUUACGAUAGAUAACCUAUUAUUCCAUUAUCAUAUGUUUUUAUAAAUAUAGGAAAAAGUAUAUUGUAGUCAUGUUAACAAUUAUAGGAAUAUUUCCUUGAGAAAUAGAAAAAAAAAUGAUAUCAAUCUAUAGUAAUUUUAUUGAAAUAGAAAAAAAAAUGUUUCUUCCUCUUAAAGAAAGUGGUUAAGUGAUAUUUGUAAUCAAAUUUAAAAUUAAAAAUAUUAAAAGAUGAGGAAAAAAAUUAAAAAUCCAAAUAUUUAAAUUAAUGAAAAUUGGGUUUGGCUUCCCAUAAAUUUGUAUAAGAUUUGGAAAGCACUAUAUAUAGUUGAGAAUAGUAUGUUUAGAUUUAUAUACUUAUAUAAAAUAAAAUUCAAGUUUCAAAAUAAACAUGAAUCAUAUGCAUAUUAAUUUCUUACCUAGGUGAAACAUAAUUGAGCAUGAGGAGAAUUGCUUUUAAUAUUUUAACUAAAAUUUUGAAUUAAAGUAAAACCUGCUUUGGAGGUUGAAGAGACUUCAAUUAUCAAUGUUAAAAUCUACCAUAAGAGGGGCUUACUCCAUUUUGCUUCUAAUUAUGAUUUAUGGUUGUAUGUUCUUUUCAAGUAUCAACAAUGAGGGAAAAGUAGUUUUUUUUUUUGUUAUUUUAUUAAUGAAAAGAAUUUGUUAGUGGAAUUACACAAAAUUGUUAGAAACUAAAAGUAUGUUUGGUAACUGUUUUAAAAAAUAAUUCUGAAAAAUAGUUUUUGAGAACUAUUUUUGAAAACUGUUCUAUGAUUUUUGUAGAACAAAAAUUUGUUUGGAAACCUUAAAUAUUUUAAACCUGAUUUUAAUAUUUUUAAAAAUAAUUUUAAACAUAAAUAAAAGAACAUGAAAUGGUUAUUAAUGGGAACAUUUCUAUUAUGGAAAUAUAAAUAUUAGAGAUGAAACAUUUUUUUUAAGGAAACAAAAUCUAGUGAUUGAUUGACAUUCAGAGAGAAACAGGUAUAAAAUGACAAACAUAAACAUUUGGAAAAAUAUCUUAUUUUCUAAACAAGUAAUUGGAAAAAUAUGUUUAAUUUUUAAAUCUUCAUAAAUGCUUGUUUAUUGGUCUUGACUUAAUAGGAAUGUAUUAUGGUCAUCCUUACAUUAAUCUACUGAGAGAAUUUAGUAUUGCAUAAAUAAAAUUGGGAAAAAAAGUAUUUAUAUGGUGAUAUGCGCAUAUUAUUUUAUGGUAAUGAAAGUAGAAAAAAAAAAAACAAAUUCAACAUGUAACCAAAAACAUGCUUAUUAACUUGAAAAAAAAAAUAUUUUCUAAACUGAUAGCUUUGAGAAAAUAAAAUGUGUCAUCAAGAUAUAUGAGAUUGAGCGGGGACCAUUGGAACUUAUAUGACGGUAUUAGCUAUCUCAUAAUCUAAUUAUGAAGUUGAUUCAACAUCCCAUUAUAGAGAAUCAACUCUACUCUAGUAUCAUAGGUAAAUAACAAUGAGACACUAAGUACUCAAGUUCGUUACUUACUAUUUGUUGUGUACAAUCUCCCCAUGAACUAGAGUCUAUAGCCUAAUGAGGUGAAAACUGUCAACUUUUCAAGACUACCUCUACUAUGCCUUAGUUACAUAUCCUCCUAUUGUAUGAUCAACUAACAUAUCUUAGUUCUCCAAAAGCUUAAAUCAAGUUCUACUAAAGGAAUUAUUAUGACUGUAGUUUACAUGAAGACACUUCCUUAGGAUCACCCAAGGGAACUCUAUCUCAGUCUCAUGAGAUAUCAUGGUGUCUUUAUUGAAAAUACCUACUGCUAUCAACUUUAAUCAACAAUGAUUGUGGACUUGUAUUUUUUAUGUACGUCCCUACUCAAUGAAAAGACUCACUUUUUAUUGAAAAACUUAUUGUUGUAAAAAAUGGAGUUGCAACUUGAUUUUAUUUAUUUUUAAAGAGAAAAUAAAAUAAAAAAUAAAACCCUAAGAAGAGCAUGUCUUUGAAAAUCUGAGUUUAAAUCUGAGGGUUAGAUUACCUAUUAUGAAGAUACCAUAGCGUAGCACCCCUCUAGCCCUAAAUAAAUUUCUCUACUAAUGAGUUAACUAUAACAAUUUAUCAAUAAAUUAAUGGAUAAUAUAAAAUGAAGAUGGCAACAGUGAUGAUAAACUAGAACAUAGGAAGAGGAAUGAGUGUACCUCAAAAACAGGUUAAGUGCUUUCACAAAAAAAAAAAAAAAAAAAGUUAGUUCACAAGUAUAUCAUAACAAUAAUGCAUGCCAAAGAUUAAAUAAUCUCAACUAUAGGUGAAGAAAAGCCAAAUUAAUGAAAGCAUAUAUAUUACACAACAAAAACAUCAGAAUUGAGACAUGAAUAAAAUAAAGGGGGAAUCAUGUAAAUGUACGUUAUUUGAAAAAUAUGAAUGAAUUGAGAACCUAAAAAAGUGGGUUUCAUGGAAAGUAUAUUUUAGGAAAAACAAUCAUCAAAUCAUGUACUAGAAUAGUAACUUUAUGCAUGCUUCCAAAACUACCCUCCAACCAAUUGAAUAUGGACUAUCACCUACCGUCCUUCAUUUCCUUUUUUUUCCUUCCAGAAGUCAACCCUCCUCAUUCCUCUUCUCUUUAUGCUAUUUGGAGAAAAUCGUUUUUAAAUUUUGAAAAAAAUUCUUAUUUUUCCCCAUAUUUUUUAAAAUCUACUUAAUUAAAAAAGAAAAAAUUAUUUUUUAAAAGUACAAUUCAUUUAAUUAUUAUUUUUUCAUUUUCUUUAUUAAAAUUUUAUUUUAACAUCAUAUGUAAUUAACGCAUUAAAAUAAAUUAGUUUUUAAUAUAAAAAUAUACUCACCUAUAAUAAUUAAUAAAUAGAUAAAUAUAUACUAAUAUUUUAAAUAAUAUAUAUAUAUAUAUAUAGAUAAUAUUUUAUUUUGUUCCAUAUUCAUAAUAUUUUUAUAUUUAUAUUUUUCAUAUUAUGGAUAUUAUGAGUGUUUAGCUAGGUUGGCAAUUUAGGACAAAAUUCCUAAGUGUCUCCAAACUCGGUUUUCCAAUCAUUUUUCUGACUAUUUGCCUAAUGAAGAUCAAGUUCUUGAAUUUUUCAAGAGGCAAAGUUAUGUAGUUGAGGUCGGAGUUGGAUGGAAUUGAAUCAACCAUAUUAUUUAAAUGUUGUUUUUUUUUUUUUUGAAAUAUUUUUUAAGAAGUUAGGAAAGCUUGGGUCGAUCAAAAUGAGUUAACUAUAACAAUUGAUCAAAAUGCCCUGUUCCAGGAUCGAUCCAACUUCAGGUCAAGUCGAUUCAGGUUUCACUUUUUUUGAUAAAAUAUCAUCCAUUGGAUUAAGGGGCUUCAUUCAUUUAAAAACCUAAAAUUGCUUCCUGUGUUGUAGAGAGAGAGACAACAACAACCACCUCCUUUGGUUCUCUUCUCAUUUCCCAUUUUUGGGGUGUUUUGUUGCCAAGAAAAUCCAACUUUCCUAUUGUCUUCCAAACUAUUUUCAAUAGAAUUUUUUUUAAGAAAAAGAUGGGUUAAUUUUUCAUUUAUUCAUCUCUCAAAUUUGAAACUAUUGGGUUUGAAUAAAAACUCAUUUUCUUCUUGUGUGGAUUCACGAAGAAGUCGAGAUCGAGCUUGGUGUGGACUCCAAGUGUGCUUCGGAAGAAAAAGGUGAGAAGUUGAAAGUGAAAGGUGCUAGUCAAGUGGUUUGAGACGAAUUGGUAGGCUUGAGCUAGGUAAAACCUUGCAUUCAGUUUUUGUUCUUCAUAGUGGACAUUUUCGAUUGGUUGUAGGCCCAUGGUUUUUGAUAUUUUUGAAGGUUUUUCAUGUUAAAAUUUGGUGUCAUUGUCUCUUUCUCUCAUUCUCUACUCUUUGAUUUAAAAAGUUGUUUUAUUAAAGAAUUUGAUAUAUGUAUAAUAUGAUUUAUCAUAUUUGAUAAUAAUAUCAUAUGCAUCGAUAAAAAUAUGAAUUUUAUAAGUGUACAUUUAUUAUUAAAUUACAUCAAAUAUUAUUUCAUAAUAAUAUUAUGAUAUUUGAUUAUAAUAUGUCUAACUUAAAAAUAUAUAUUAAUAUUAAAAUUAUUAUCCAUUUAAUUCAAUUGUAUUAAAUGUUAUAAAAUAAAUUAUGAUAUAUGUAUAAUUUUUUAAUAGUUAAUUAAUUUAUUAAUGAUAUUAAAAACACUAUGAAGAAAAUUAUUAUGAGAAUUUUUAUAAUAUCAAAACUUAUAAAAAUAUAAAAUAAAAACUCUUAUAUAUAUAUAUAUAUAUAUAUAUAUAUAUAUAUAUAUAUAUAUAUAUAUAUAUAUAUAUAUAUAUAUAUAUAUAUAUAUAUAUAUAUAUAUAUAAUAUUGUACAUGUUAAUAAAAAAUGUAAAUUUGAUAAGUGUACAUUGAUUAUUAAAUUAUAUAAAAUAUUAUUUGAAGAUAAUAUUGUGAUAUGUGAUUAUAAUAUGUUUAAUUUUAAAAUCUAUUUAAUAUUAAAAUUAUGAUAUAUUAUAAAAUAAAUUAUGAUAAAUGUAUAAAUUUGUAAUAUAUUAAUAAUAUUAAAAACACUAUGAAUAAAAUUAUGAUAUAUUUUUACUAAUCAAUUAAAUGAAAAAAUUUCAUUCAAUUAUAAAAUAGCUAUAAUUAAUUUGUUAUUUAAAGUGUUUUUUUUUUAAUUUUAUUUAUAUCCUAACUUUUGAUAUAUAUUUCUUUAGUGCAUAUUAUAUAUCAAAGGGCGCGUUUCCCUAGUGGAGCUGGGGAGGCAUGCUGAACGUUUUGUUGGGGGUUCGAAUGCCCCCAACGGCAGCAAAAAAAGCUCAAAUUUGAGCUUUGACAGCAUUGAUCGCCUGCGUUGACUAGCCGUUGACAACCGAUAUAUCCAUGCUAUAUAUCGCCACCCGCCGAUACAUCGAUAUAUUGGCGAUAUAUCGCCCAAUUUCGACGAUAUUUUCUUCCCUACUUAUAACUCAAACAAUAAUGAACAAAUAUUGGCCAAAGCAAAUUUAUUAAAAUAACAACUUGGCUGCUUUGACUUCAAUUAUCCAAAUAAAAAUUAUAUUUAGAUUAAUUGCUAAAAAUAAAAUUUAGAAUAAAAAUUUAUUUAUAUGAAAAAUAAAACUUAUUUUGAUGGUUUCUUUGCAUUCUUUUUUCUACAUCUCAAAUGGACAUAUUUGCAUUUAUUUUCAUGUCUUAUAUAUUUUAUUUACAAGCUUUUUAGGUUAAAAUUAGUUGUAAAAAUUAAAUUAAAUCUUUUUAAAGCUUUUUAUCUCAUCUUAAUAGAAUAUACUACAUUUUUUUUUUAUAAAAUUAAAGAUUAAAUCAAGAAAAAAAUGUUAAUAAAAAUGAUUUUAUCAUAUUUGAUUUAUUUAAAAAAAAUACAAAUAUUUUUAUUUUAAAAUUAAUCAAAUGUAAAAUUAAUCAAACUAUUAUCAUUUUUAUUUACUUUUCUUUCAUUUUUCCCCAAUUUUUGUUUCAAAAUUUAUAAGAACUAAAAAAAAAAGUAUUUAUGAUCUAAUUAAUAUCAAAUCUAUUUUUAUUUCAUAUUUUUAUACACUAUACAUCAACAAUCUUAAUUUUCAUUCAAACAUACCCUUAAGUUCUAUUGGUGAUUCUAAAAGUUAUCUCCUCAUAGAGUUCUUAUUUGUGAUGGGAUUGUACAGAUGACAACUGAGAUAGCAAAUGUUGAGGAUGUAGGAACAUGGAGAGGUAAUAUAGAGAAAAUCUUUAUUGACAUCAUGGUAAUUGAAGUUAAUAAAGGUAACAUGGAUAGUGGUACAUUUAGUACCAACACAUGGAGAAAGAUCUUACUUGAGAUCAAUAGUCAAGGGAAAAAAAAUUUCAAUUUGAAGCAGCUUAAACAAAAGUUUAAUAGACUACGUGCAAUGCACCGUGAGUUCUUUGAUCUUUUAAAGCAUACGGGAUUUGGUUAGGAUGCUGAAACUAACAUGGUGCAUACUCUAGAGGAAACCUGGAAAAAUUACAUUCGGGUAAAAAUAACUUUUAAACUAACUACUUUUUAAUUUAAAUAUUUGGUAUAUACUAAGAGUGGGUUUUUUUUCUCUCUAUUAGGCACACCCAAAUACAAAAAGAUUCCGCUCAAAGGGAUGCCCUAACUACAACUUGAUGGGAUUGAUCUUUAAUCCAUCAAUAGCAACCGGUGCCCUCCACUACUCUCCACCCAAGAUCCACCAAACACCGAUGAUGAGGAUGAGAUGGAUGACAAUUUGGAACAUGGUGGAGUGCAUGUGGAUGUAGAUACUAAGAUCCUUGAUGAUCUUUUACGACUAGAGAUGGUAGGAGGAGUGACCACCCGUUCUAGAAAGUGUACAACUGAUUCUCUAUUAGAGCAUAGAUGUAAGAAAGAGUCCAGAUUAAGUCAAAUGAGAGAUGCUUUGAAAGCUUAGGCUGAGGCAUCAAAGGGUAGAACAGAAACAUCUCGAGCUAGAACUGAGGCAUUAUUGGCUAGAGUGGAAAGAUAUAAGAGUGGAAUUAGUAGUGAAGCUACUAGUGCAAGUACUAAUUUUAACAUAACAAGGUGCAUGGCAGCCUUACAAACCAUUGAAUUGUUGGAUAAUGACAAAUAUUUAAAAGCUGUUGAGAAAUUCAUAAUGCCGAAGUGGAGAGAGAUAUUUAUGAAUAUGCCUAAUGAGAGGAAAAUGAAAUGGCUUGAUAGGUUUUAAAUGUGAAUGUUUGGAUCAAUAACUAUUAUGAUGACAUUGUAAUAUGUACUAUUUCUCUUUUGGUUAGAAUCUUUUACCAUGCUUUUUAGUUUGUCAUUGUAUGGAUGUUAUUUAUGGUUGUGAAACUUAUAUUAUAGCUAUUUUAAUGUUCAUUUCGUGCUAUUUUAUAUUGUGAGUUGAUUUGUUUUGUGUAGUAACCAAUGGAUGAUAAUAGCACAAGUAGUGGUUCACUAUAUGAGUUAAUUUCAUCUUUUGAAAAGGACGAUGAUUUAGAUGAAAUUUUUAUUGCUCACAUAAUGAAUGAGUAUGAGGAAAUAUUUUUAUGCAAGACACCUUAAAGGACAUCAAUGUUAAGUGGUGCACAAUUUGUAUGAGAUAUGAUAGAAGGUCAUCCUCAGACAUGCUAUGAACUAUUUCGAAUGGAUAAAGAAACAUUUGUGAACCUGUGUGAUCAUCUUAAGAGACAUCAAAACUUAUAGGACACACGAUUAGUCACAGUUGAAGAGGCAGUUGCUAUGAUCUUACUAAUCAUAGGACAUAAUGUGAGAAUGAUGGUUGUAGCAAACUAUUUUCAACACUCCACAGAGACUGUCGCUUGACACUUUAAAGAAGUUAGACAUGCAUUAUGUCGACUAGGAAAAAUUCUCUUACAUUCUAUCAAUAUGAUCAAUGAGGCGUCUUCAUAUGUUCUUAGUAAUCCUAAAUAUUUUCCAUGGUUUAAGGUAAGAGUUUAUAAAAAAUAUUUAUAAAUGUGAAUUUCAUGUACAAAAAUAGUUUUCGUGACCAUUAUUUAAUUUAUUUCCUUAAUAAUAAUAAAUGUUUGUUGUUGUAGGACUACAUUAAUGCAAUUGAUGACACUCUUAUUAGUGCAUGGGUCCUAGUUGGUAAACAAACUAGUUUUAGGGGUUGAAAAACAAUCAUAACACAAAAUAUUAUGUGUGCAUGUGAUUUUGACAUGAUGUUUACAUUUGUUUAUGUUGGUUGGAAAGGAACAACAAACGAUGCAUGUGUCUUUUUAGAUGCAUUGACUAGACCAAAAGUCAAUUUUCUUUGGCCAAGUGAAGGAAAAUAUUAUGUAGUUGAUUCUGGUUAUCCUUGUAUAUUUGGAUUUUUGCCACCAUAUCGAGGUGAGUGACAUCAUUUAUAAGAAUAUCGGGGUAGACAUAAUCAACCUAUCAGGUAUAAAGAACUUUUUAAUUAUAGACAUUCAUCUCUUCGGAAUAUUAUUGAAAGAUGUUUUGGUGUUUUGAAGACCCGAUUUCCAAUAUUAAGGAUAAUGCCUUGUUAUAAGCCAAGUAGGCAACCAUCAAUUGUAGUUGCCUAUUGUACCCUUCAUAAUUGGAUUCGUCUAUCAACUCGGAAUGAUCAAUUGUUUAGAGAAUAUGAGGUAGAAGACCUUUUAGUCCAAGGUGAAGAAGAGAGCACAAGUAGCACAAACCAUUCAAUUGAUUUAUCAGAUGUAAGUGUAGUAGCUAUGGCAACUUGUAGCGAUCAAAUUGCUCAAGUGAUGUGGGCAAAUUAUAUUAAUGUCAAUCCAUGACUUAUCCUAAUUUUAAUUUUAAAUAUUUGUCAAUACUUUAGUGUUUUGUUAGAAUUUAUAUAUAUUUGUUAACUUAACUAGUUCUCAUUAGUGUUAUGUGAUGUUUGUUGUAAUUUCUAAUGAUUAAAUAUUGCUUAUAAAUUUAAUUUAUAAUUGUACAAGUAGGAUGGACAAAAGACCCAUGUGUUAUUGUGGAUGUGGAUGGAUGCGUAUUUUCAUGUUGAAAACAUAGAAGAACAAUGGUCGUUGGUUUUAUUGUUGUCCAUUAUAUCAUGUAAGUAUAUUUAAUUAUCAUAUGAAAACAUAUUGAUAUUAAUGAAAUACAUAUGUCAUAUUUUAUUUUAUUUUUAAUAAUUUAUCUAUUGUAGGAACAUCCUCAUUGCUUUAUAUGGGUUGAUGAUUAUAAUCUACAACAACCUCAACAACUAUUGUCAAUUGAUGUAAAAAUUUUAAAAUGAAAUAAUUUUUUAAAUUUAAAUGAAUUGUGUAUAUAAAAAUUAAUUACAAAUUUAUAAUAUCAAGUUACUUGAAGAAAACACUUUAUUAAUUAGGGAAAAAAAAACAACUUUCAAACAUGCUUUUUAUUUUACUUAUUCUAAAAAACUUUUUUAUUAACUCAACCAAACAUGCUUUUUUUUUUUUAGAACAAAAACUGUUUUCCAAAAUUCAGUUCCCAAACACAAUUUUUUAUUUUUGAAAACACCAAAAACUGUUUUCCAGAACAGUUUUAAAAAACAAUAACCAAAUAGGCCCUAUGUUUUUCUUUUUCCUUAUAUUAUUUUUAGAAGCAAUCACCUAUAGCUUUGACCGCUGCUACAUAUGCUACAUGUUUAUGCUACCCUAUCCUCACAUCUAAAGCUUACUAUGCAACAUCUCACUCUAGCAAUUUCUCAAUGCAGGUUUCUUUCUACCUUUUAAACAAGUUUGAAAGAUCACGCCAAUAUCUGACCAUAAGCUUUUCUCUCAAAAUAAAGAAAUUCAUUCUCAUAUCUCUUAUUUAUUUAUUUUAUGAUUUUUCUUUCUAACUACUUUCUCUUUGCUUGUACACUAACUUCUCAAAAUAGAGAAAAGUAAUGUUUUUUUUUUUGCUUUAAAGAUUUUGGAUUCUUGAAUCUUUCCAAACAAAGUUUCAUUUCAAACCUUACGAGAUUUUUUUUAACCAUAGAAAAUGGAUGGAAUUGGAAAAUUUGGAGUUUUGGAAUUUUAAUUUUUUAGGUUUUGAAUGUUUUGGAAUAUCUUUCAAAUGUCUAGUUUAUCCAUGGAAUCUCUUUCGAAUGUUUUGUCAGAACAGGAAUCGUUUUGACAUAUUUGGGGAGAUUGUAAAGAAACAUCUAAAUACAAUAAGUUGUUUAUUUUUUAUUUUUUCAUGUUUAUAGUUCAAGUUUUCUAUGCUUUAAUUUGCUUUCUUCUUUUAGAUUUAUUGGUUGGAUUAUGUUUUUUUAAUUCAAUCUUGUAGUAGUGUGUAUCAACCUUGCUAACACAAUUACUUUUGAGAGCACUACCUUGCUAUGAGUAACCUUUUCAUGGAGGGGUGUGUGUGUGUGUGUGUGGUUUUUUUUUUUUUGUGGUAAUGGGGGAUUUGAUGUUGGUUAUUCUCUUCAAUCUAUUCAUGCUUGUAUUACUUUUGUGAAUGCAGGUGGUUCAUGCCAUUCAAUAUCCUUAUAACUUUUGUGAUUGGCUCAACACUUGGAUGGUUGCUUGUCAAAUUAACCAGAGCUCCUCAACAUCUCAAGGGUCUUGUGUUUGGUUCUUGCUCUCUUCCUCCAUUUCAAAAUAAUCUCAAAGAAUCUUCUCUAUCAAAAGUCCUCUAACCCAUGGAUACUCUCAUCCAAUAAGUGGCAACCCACCUUACUUUCUGCGUGUAAGUCUUAUUAUGGAGAGUCCUCUCCAAAAAAACAAAACAAAAACAAAAAAUCUUUUUUUUUUAUUCUCAAACUUUCAUAUUGCAUGAAUAAUAUAUCUCUUCCUACCUUAUGGGUAGUCAUAAACCUCUGAAAAAUCCUUAUCCUCAAUUUCCAAUGCAUCAAUAUCCUCUCAAAAGAAUCUUACAAGUCAUAGACUUCUAUCCAAGUAUGGUGUGAAUCUAAAGAAACUCCUCCUUAAUUAAAUCUCCUAAAUACCACAAGCUUCAAUCUUCCAAAAGUCUCAAUUCUAAAAAAACUUCUCCAUUGCCAUUAAUAUCAUAAAAGAAUCCUCCUAGCCAAAUCCUCCAAAAUUUCCAUACUUUCCUUAUCCUCCCCAAACUCUCAAUCCAUGAACCAAAAAGAGUUUUCUCAAUCUCCAACUCCAAAUCCUUGUCUUCCCAUAAGUGUCCUAGUCAACAUCAAAUCUUAAUUCCUUAAAGCCAUCCUUGUUUUCCUAAAUAAGGCCCACGCAUAUGCCAUGCAAGGUGAUAUGAAAUAUUGUCCUAAAAUGCACCUAAAAAGCUUUCUAAAAUGCACCUGGAUGAACUAACUUAAAGUGUACCUAAACGUAAUGAAUGAAGAAUGUAUCUAGAUGAACUAUCUUAAGUUGUAACUAAAUUAAGAUGCAACAAAGAAAUUUUCUAAAAUGCAACUAAGUGAGCUAGACUAAGUGAAUUGAGUGAGCUAAACUAAAGUGCAUCUAAAUGAGCUAAACUAAAAAUGUAUCUAAUUGAGCUAAACUAAAGUGUAUCUAAGUGAGCUAAACUAAAGUGCAUUUGAGUGAGCUAAACUAGAGUACAUCUAAGUAAGCUGAAAGAAUGUUAAGUGAACUAAACCUAGAAAUGCAACUAAGUGUACUAAAACUAAAAUGCAAUCAAGUGAUUAAGUGAGCUAAACCUAAAAUGAAACUAAGUGAACUAAACUAAGGUAUAACUAGGGUUGCGAUUGAGAUCUAUAAAAAUCCUUCAAUAAUGAGUCUCUAAAAGUGGCUUAAAAAUAACACUAAAUGAGUGACAAUGGACUAUCGUGGGACGACUACAAGGAAAUAAGAAAUAAAGGAGAACACAAAGGGUAACAUGUGCUACAAGGACAAAAUGGAGGGUUUAUAAUGACCCAAUCCGUAAGGAAUAUAUGAUCACUUUAGGAUUUCACUCAUAGGUCAAAGCCAUUACUAACUUUAGCACAAACUCAAUAUUCUCUUAAGGUUGAGAAACAACACAACAUAGUAGCUUGGUGAAGUCAUGAUCACUUGAUAGUUUUAUAUAAUGACUCAUCAUAGGUCUUGUCCAACAUAUAACCAUACACAUUAGUAUACUCACCAUGGGAACCCCAUCUCAAUGUUAAGACCAGUCAUCCCUCCAAUUAGGCGGUGAUGCACUACAACUUCUAAUGGGUUGUUUAUGUCGAUGAACUGGUUAUGAACAAGUCAUCUACUUGUAAGAAACUCGUGACUUUGAUCUUCUAUGAAACUCCUAAUGCACCUAAGUCACAUACAAUGUAAGAGGUGCAAGCCAGAAUACUUAUAUAGUAUGAUACAUGGAAUGAUGAUAAAUAGAAGCAUAAACUUUAUUAAUAAAUAAUGAACUCCAAAGUUUAUUGCAUUACGUCAUGCUUUUAAGGACUACAUUCUAACAACAUUGGAUCUUAUGAAUAGUCUAUCUAGAUUGGGCUAAUUAAUUUACUAGAGCCUAAUAGGACUAAUUAAUUAAUUAGGACCCAAGUAGGCUAGAUUAGGUGACCUAAGUCCAAGUUGACCUCAAGUCACCUACGUUUGUGGGGAAGCCUAUGUACACCUCCUCAAGGGUUUAGGAUUUCAACUUUUUCCAUUGUCUUCUAGACUUUAGAAAACAAACCCUAGCCACCCCUUUAGAGAGAGAAAUAGAAGACCACCUUUCUUUUGUACCAAGGUCCAUAGAAAGAUUAGGAGAAUGAUUGUUGGGUCUACAAGAUCUACAAUCCUAAUAGCCUAUCUUUAUUUGAUUUGAUUCAUCUAGGAACAUCUAAAUCAUAUGUAUGAGUCUUCUAUCUCUAGAUCUAUGUUAUAUUAUGAUUUUUUUUUUUGUUUCAUAUGUUUAUGUUAUAUUAGAUUUGGAGAACCUAGGAUAAGAUUGCAUGCACUCUAUAAGAUUCAAGGCUAAGGAACAAAGUAAUAUAAGGUUCCUAGCAAUUAGUAUCAGAACCCUAGGUAAGGUUUUUGCAUGCUAGAUCUAUUUUAAGGUGUGGUAACUCUAUUUUGUAGAAUUAUUGCAUUCAUUCUACGGUUUAAGAGAUGAAUGAAUGUUUUUAUUUUUAAUAUAAUGGAUAUAACUAUGAUUGUGAUUAAUUGCUCUUUAGAUUAGGUUGUAAGCUAUGUGAUUAGAAGUAUAAAAAUUUCUUUUUGAAUGUAAGAGUUUUUCCUUUUGGAUUAAUCUAAGCUUCAAUUUGAAGGAGAAUAGGUUUAUUUUUCCUAUGUACAAAAAAAAUUAUUUUUUCCAUGCUAAAAAGACAAGAAAGAGGCAAUCUAUGACAUCUAUCGCAUCCAUUGUGCAUAAACUAGUUAGCGAAGGCAUGUUUUUCAAUGGAAAAAUAAUUGGAAACCAUGGAAGAUGCACCAUUGGGUCGGACAUGCAUACACCAGUGCUCGAGCACCCAAAUUUGUGCUUGAAUGACCAUCUAGCUAAAAGUGUCAAAUGGGUUGGACCACCCAAUUUGGCUCAUGAACUAAAAUGUCCCAAUUACUAUAGCAGCUUGUGUGGGGCUUAAGAAGACGACUUGUUAUGCCAUAGUGCCAAUCCAUUAUGCUAGCCCAUUGUGCCAGCCUAUCAUGUCAACCUACUUGGCCUAUUAAUAUUUUUGUAUGCCACAUGUCUAUAAUACCUCUCUCAAUAACUAAAAAGUGAAUCAAUAGUUAUUUUGUUAUUUUUCAUGUCAAAUGUCUGUAUUACCCUUCCCAACAACUAUAUAAUGGUUAAUUUGAAGGAUAAAUAAAUAAAUCACUUACUAUUAGUAUUUUUCAUGUCAAAUGUCUAUAAUACCGCUCUCAACAACUAUAUUACGAUUAGUUUUAAGGUUAGAUAAGUAAAUGAUUUAAAAACGGUUUUCUACAAAUAACCUCUCAUUUUAAUUCUUUCUCACACAAUUCUCCAUUCUCUCUCUUUACAUUAUUUACAAUUCUCUCUAAUCCUUUUCUACAAUUCUUUAAUUUUAAAUUCUCAACAAGUUCUCCAAUUCAAGGUUCAAGUUAUCUACUCUCCACAAGUGUUCAUUACUUACAAUUUUUUUAUGCUUAAGAUAUCUACUAAACUUAUAAGUGUUCAUUAUUUCAAGUUUGAGACAUUUCAUAUUUAGUUAUUUCAUUUACUUUUUAAAUUCUAUAUUUUCAUUUAAUUAUUCUCUUCCUUCUACCUUUUUUUUUCUUUAAAAUUAAAAUUGGAUUCCUAUUACCUAGAUGUUGAAAACCUUGACUUUGGUAUUGAUGAAUGUAAUGAAUUUGAGCCUUUUGAAGAUAAGGAGAACCCCACCCCCAUUAGCGUCCUCCCUCUAACCCUUUAUCUAACUUUCUCCAACCUCAUCAUAUAAGCAAAAGACCUCGGGUAAGUAGACACACAUCUGUAGUAUGGAAUUACUUCAUUAUACUAAAUAGAAAAAAAAAAUACAAGAGUAGAGGUAGAGAAUCUAGAACAAUAUAAAUAUUGUAAAAGAACAUAUAGUUGCGAAGCUAUUGGUGGCAUAAGUCAUCACCUUAGAAGACAUGUAGAACAAUGUACCAAAAGCCAUGGUGCAUUAGACCCUAGGCAAUCUCAAAUAAGUCAAAUUGAAAUAGGAUCUAGUACAUCUUCAAUGUCCAUCUUUAUAUAUAAUCAAGAAAGAUUCAGAGAAGGGUUAGCUAAAAUUAUGGCUAGUAUUAACCUACCACUCACAUUUGGAGAAAAUCCUAGGUUUGUACAUUUCAUGCACAAGUAUACUCUACUAGCCUAUCAAAUAAUUUUUAGGAAUUUUUUUUAUAAUAAUAUAAUUAAGAGUGAUAAGAAUUAUAAACAAUUGAUAAUCUAAAAUUUUAAUAAUCAUAAUGAUAUUACAUAUAUGACCUUAGAUAUAUGGCCUAGCCAAAGUAAUGACCCUUGUUGACAACAUAUUAUACAUAUGCAAAUUAGAAAUUAAAUAAGAAAAUAUUAGGUUUUCCUAUAGUAUAUUGUCCUCAUGAUGAGCUUGCCAUAUAUGAUUCUCUUACAAGUAUUUUUAGAGAGUUUGACAUACAAAGCAAAAUUUUUAGUAUUAACUUUGAUAAUACUUCAAAAACAAUACAAGUGUCAUAGAUUUUUUUGUAAGAACGAUUAGAGAAGAUCCACUAAGUGAGAUGUUCCAUGUGAGAUGUGUUUUUCAUUUAAUUAAAUUGAUAAUACAAGAUGGUUUAGAAUUAAUAUCUAUCUCGUUAGAGGCUAUUUGGUUUUCUAUACAAUUUAUUUAUCAACCUAACAAAUUAUAAGAAUUUAAUGCUUUAUGUAAACAGUUGGUUUGAAGAAGAGAAAGUUCCAUUAUGAUGUUGAUCAUCGUUGGAUUUUUUACUUAUCUUAUGUUAGCAUCUUGUGUAGGGUUUGAUAACAUAUUGUCAGAUUAUGCCAAUGGUAAGGUAGUUAAAUUAAAAUAACUUCAAAUGACUAGGAGAGAGGUUUUACAUUUUUAAACUUCUUAAAGGUUUUUUAUGAUACUACUACCAAGUGUUUUAUUGUAUAUACCCUUACAUCUUGCAUGACACUUAGAUGUAUUUGCAACAUUAAUUUUUUGUUUCAACAAUAUAGAUAAUGUGCCCUCUUUAGUGAAAUAUGUCUACAAAUGGGUUUUUUUUUUUUUUUUUUUUAAUAUUGAAAGAAUACCAACACUUUUUUAUUUAGAUGCUUGUAUGGAUCCAAGGGUUAAAGUUGAAGAUGUAGAAAACAUUUUAAAUUUCAUAGCUAAUUGAAUAAACCAACAAUCCCAACCAAAGGGUAAGGAAUACAAACAAUUAAACAUCUCAUAUAAAUAAUAUGAGACUAAAUAUGGUAGUGUCUCUUUAUGUGCUAUAACUCCAUGUGCAUUUGGAAAUGAUCCAUUUUUUAUGUAAUUAGAUAAAGGAAAGUGAUAAGUUUGUCAUUCAAGUAGUUUGGAUCUUUCAAAAUAUUUAGAUAUUGAUUACUCUUCAUUCCUAACUCCUAAUGAAAUCCAAAAUUUUGAUUUUAUGAAGAUGGUGGAAAUCUUAUGAAUCCACCUUUCAUGUGCUAUCUAAAAUGGCACGUGAUUUGCUAACCCUAUUGUAGCAUUGGAAUAUGCUUUUUCUAUAGUUGUAAAUAUGAUUGGAGACAAGAGGACAAAACUUGUACCAAAUAUGAUUGAAGCCUUGAUUUGUUUGAAGGAUUGAGAAAAUGGAUGCUUGAGUUUCCAAGCUUUAGAAGAUGAAUGUGAAGUUGAACUCAACAAUUUAAAUAUCAAUAAAGACAAAGAUGUUCAAAAGAUUGAUGAAGAAUCAAGAAUCAAGAAUGAAUAUUGAAAUAAGAAGAUAAAAAUGAAUAUGAAAAUUGAAUAAUUAAAUUUUGUUCAUUUCUUCUAAAUCUAUUAAAUGUGACUCAUUUUUAAAUAUUGUGAGUAAUGCCUAUGAUUGAUAGUUGGUGGGUGUCAACCUAGUUGGGAUGUACUCAAACUAUAAUGAUGUAAUUCUCACUUAUUUAUUUUUUUAUUUUUUUAAUGUAAUUUUUUGAAAUAUUGAAUAAAAAUUUGUAUUUUCCAUACUUUCUUUUCUUUUAUAUUCCAAUAUUUUAAAUUUAUAGUUACUUUGAUAAAAAAAAAAUUCAAAUACGAUUUAUUUUCUUAUUUUAAAAACAAAAAUUUAACAUUUCUACAAAUUUUACAAUUACAAAUUUGAUAAAUAUAAAUACAUAGAAAAACAUAAUUAUUUAAAAUGUUUAAAGUAACAAAAAGAAAUUGCACUUAAUAAUGAAAACAAAGUCUAAGAUAAAGUGACUUGAAAAGUUAAAUUAAAUAUUAACAAAGCGAGUGGCCCACCGACAUAGCCUACUAGCAUGGUCUAUCGUCACGACCUAUUAGCACAAUUGACCCAUAGGCUUAUAGGUCGUGGUAGGGCCCCAAUUUGGUUUGCAUGGGUUGGCAUUACAUGACACAAUUUUUAAAUAGGCUAUACUAGCCUGACAUCGCUUGGCCCAUUUGACAUCUCUACAUCAAGUGGCCAUCAAGUGCUCGAGUGCCCUUUUCAAUGCUCAAACCUUAUAAGUGACUAUUGGGAAGCACGAAUUACUCAAUUCCUUAGUCCUAGAUUAUGUAGGGUGCAUGCAUUCUAUCCUAAGCUUUUCUAGAUCUAUCAUAGUGGAAACAUAUGGUAUCAAAAACAAUAUUAUGAUCUAGAUCUAGAGAUUAAAGUUUCAUACCUACAAUCUAGAUAUUCCCAUAUCGAAUCCCAUAUGAUGGAGAUGUUGAAAACCGUGACAGUUGUUAUAAAACUUGUUUACUCAAUGAUCUUCCACCCAACUCUCCCUUCAUGGAUCUAAGCAUAAAAGAAGGGUGAGCUUCUAUUUCUCCCAUAAGGGUGUCUAGGGUUUCUCUCUAAAGUCUCUUUGAAAAAAAGAUAGGCCACAAGCUUGAACCCAAAAGUACCUAAAUGGGUUUAUAUUAAGCUCUCUAUGGCCUUAAGUGACUUGAGUCCAAAUUAAGCUUAGGUUACAUAAUCUAUCCCACCUAUGUCCAAAUUAUUUAAUUACUUCUAAUGAGGUCCAAUUAAUUAAUUAGCCUAAACUACCAAUCCAGAAAAAACCAUUUGUAAGAUCAAGUGCAACCUUACAUUUUUACCAAAAUGCCCUUAUAUACAUUUAUGAACUAUAAACCUAAAUCCUUGAAAUGAAGUGUGCCACCAUGAACUAGGAACUCGAUUAGGGACCAUUAAGACCUAUAGGAAAAUACUAGCUCCCUUAGAAUCCAAUUUUGAAGUUGACUUAAUAUUCCACUAAAAAGAGUCAAGUGCACUACAUUAUCCUAUGAAAUUAAAAGUUAAAGCUCUGGUUCGUGAUAUACCAUUCAUUGCAUGCAAACUCCCCAUGAGUUGGUGUUCGAAAUCUAAUAAGGUAGUACUAUCAACCCAUUAAUAUUACCUCUCUAAUCCUUGAGAUAUAGAUCCCCAUAUUAUGUGAUCAAUUUACAUACUCUAGCUUGUAAAAAGCAUAUGUCAAAUUUCACUUAAAGAAUUAUUGUGACCACAAAUUUCAUGAUCAUAUGUCUUUUAGAUCAACUAAGGAACAUACUAUCUCAAUCCCAUGAUAUUUCAUGGUGUUUCUAUUGAGAAUAAUUGUUUUCACUAGCAUUUAUCAAUAAUGACCUAAUCCAUAGAGAUAUAUGACGACAUUAGGUCUCACCCAUAGGUUAAAGCCUCCUAUUUAUUUCAGCACAAGCUCAUUAUUCUCUCAAGGCUAAGAGUUCAUUCAAUAUAGUAACUUGGAUCUUAACAAUUCAGUAGCCUUAUGUCAUGAUUCACUAUAGGUCCUACCCAUUGUGUAACCAUACAUACUAGAGCACCAGUCAGGGGUGUUGAUCGAACACUAAUGUGUCAAAUCCCCAAGUGUAAGGAUUUCAAUUAUAGCCUAGUAGAUACUAGUUUCAAUCCUACAAGGAACUCUUUUUCACUUUCUAAAGAGGUUGUCAAUAUACAAAUUGAUUUUGGGUGCUUCACAAAUAAGAUGUAGUUGGUUAGUUCAAAAAAGUAAGGCAAGAAAAGUGCCAUGAGGGGAAGGUAAGGAACCAAUUUAGUUAAACCAUUCUUUUUAAGUCUUUUGGUCCAAUAGGGGAUUUAAGUUUUGUAAUUAGAAAAUCUAGGCCAUAACUUGCUCAAAAUUACUCCUAAGAUUGUCCGAUUCACAACCAUUGCAGUGAGCAUUUAUCCUAGUAGGGACCCGCUUCAACCUUUUCUAGAAUACUGGGUUCUAGGAGAGACUCAAGCUUUUCAAUUAAGUUUGAAGCAUGUUCCUAAGGCUGCUUAACUUGCAAACCUUACAAUCCUUACAACAUGCAUUUGCUACAACCACUGAAUUUAUCAUCCUCGUCCUCAGUAAUGUUAAUAAACUAAGGAUUUCAUUAACUAAGGGAAAAAUUCCCCAUUUUCCACCCAUGAUACCCAGCUCAUUUAGCUUAGCAUUAAGGUAAAGAAGAAAGAGGCACACACUAAAGAAAAAAAAAUUACUAGAAGCAAGAGCAAAAAGAACUUUCUUUUAAAACCUGUUGAAAAUGUUUGAAAGGUUUUUACAAACUUCUCUCUCUACACUCAAAAUAAAAGCUACCAAACUACGUUAAAACUACUCUCAUAUUUUCCUCCCGUUAACCUUCUUUAUCAAUUCCCUACACCUUCUUCAUAUGGGACUACUUUCUAUAUUGUCAAUUAUAAGUGCGUUCGCCAAAAGUAGGUUGAUGAAGUUCCAUUUGUGAACGACGUCCAAAAUGGUGAUCAUGACAAGUGCAAUCAAUGGGGGUGACUUCCAUCAGUUUUGGAUGUGACCAUUUAUCGAAUGUGCAUUUUUCUCAUUGCAUGCUUGAGCUUUUAGGUUAGCACAGACAGAGUGCUUGUGAAUCAAUAUAGUGGCUCUUGCAAUGAUGCAUUGGUUAAUGAAGGAUUGCACAAUAAGGGUUGAGCAUUGAAUGAGCUUUAAGAUAGCACAAAGGAGUCUUUUAAAUUCUAUGCACUAAAGUCUUAGGGGAUUGCAUAAUUAAAGUUGACACAAUAAGGUUGGGUGCACAAUCUUGCCUUACUAUCUUGCAUGCACUAUUUAAUGUUGAAGGUGCACAAUCUC